GACGAACGCUGGCGGCGUGCUUAACACAUGCAAGUCGAACGGAAAGGCCCUGCGUUUGUGGGGUGCUCGAGUGGCGAAAGGGUGAGUAACACGUGAGUAACCUGCCCUUGACUUUGGGAUAACUUCAGGAAACUGGGGCUAAUACCGGAUAGGAGCUCCUGCUGCAUGGUGGGGGUUGGAAAGUUUCGGCGGUUGGGGAUGGACUCGCGGCUUAUCAGCUUGUUGGUGGGGUAGUGGCUUACCAAGGCUUUGACGGGUAGCCGGCCUGAGAGGGUGACCGGCCACAUUGGGACUGAGAUACGGCCCAGACUCCUACGGGAGGCAGCAGUGGGGAAUAUUGCACAAUGGGCGGAAGCCUGAUGCAGCAACGCCGCGUGCGGGAUGACGGCCUUCGGGUUGUAAACCGCUUUCGCCUGUGACGAAGCGUGAGUGACGGUAAUGGGUAAAGAAGCACCGGCUAACUACGUG
This 468-nucleotide ribosomal RNA is filed under the name uncultured bacterium. RNAcentral's name for it is "partial 16S ribosomal RNA". It matches the Rfam family "Bacterial small subunit ribosomal RNA", at positions 28 to 507 of the family's 1533-position model. The record is from RNAcentral.